This is a microRNA precursor of Oryza rufipogon (brownbeard rice), 197 nucleotides long. It matches the Rfam family "MIR812 microRNA precursor family". The record is from Rfam. NCBI's taxonomy places the organism in Eukaryota, Viridiplantae, Streptophyta, Magnoliopsida, Poales, Poaceae.
UUUAAGUGCAACCAUAAAUUUCCGCGUCUAACUUUGAUCAUCCGUCUUAUUUGAAAAUUUUUUAUAAUUAAUAUUUUUGUUGUUGUUAUGUGAUGAUAAAACAUGAAUAGCACUUUACCCGUGACUUAUGUUUUUAAUUUUUUUUAAAUAAGACGGACCGUUAAAAUUGGGCGCGGAAAAUCAUGGCUACACUUAAA